RNAcentral lists this ribosomal RNA (254 nucleotides) under uncultured bacterium. RNAcentral's name for it is "partial 16S ribosomal RNA". It matches the Rfam family "Bacterial small subunit ribosomal RNA", at positions 524 to 776 of the family's 1533-position model. The record is from RNAcentral.
CACGUAGGGUGCGAGCGUUGUCCGGAAUUAUUGGGCGUAAAGAGCUCGUAGGCGGUGUGUCGCGUCGGCCGUGAAAACCUGCAGCUUAACUGUGGGCUUGCGGUCGAUACGGGCAUCACUGGAGUUCGGCAGGGGAGACUGGAAUUCCUGGUGUAGCGGUGAAAUGCGCAGAUACCAGGAGGAACACCGGUGGCGAAGGCGGGUCUCUGGGCAAUAACUGACGCUGAGGAGCGAAAGCGUGGGGAGCGAACAGG